UACAGGGGGGGCAAGCGUUGUUCGGAAUUACUGGGCGUAAAGGGUUCGUAGGCGGCCAACUAAGUCACACGUGAAAUCCCCAGGCUUAACCCGGGAACUGCGUGUGAUACUGGAUGGCUUGAAUCCGGGAGAGGAAUGCGGAAUUCCAGGUGUAGCGGUGAAAUGCGUAGAUAUCUGGAGGAACACCGGUGGCGAAGGCGGCAUUCUGGACCGGCAUUGACGCUGAUGAACGAAAGCCAGGGGAGCAAACGGG
Molecule: ribosomal RNA, 253 nt
Filed under: uncultured bacterium
Lineage: Bacteria
Description: partial 16S ribosomal RNA
Rfam family: Bacterial small subunit ribosomal RNA
Source: RNAcentral